UGCGCAGGCGGUUCGCCAAGUCAGGUGUGAAAUCCCCGGGCUUAACCUGGGAAUUGCGCUUGAAACUAGCGAGCUUGAGUGUGGCAGAGGGGGGUGGAAUUCCACGUGUAGCAGUGAAAUGCGUAGAGAUGUGGAGGAACACCGAUGGCGAAGGCAGCCCCCUGGGUCAACACUGACGCUCAUGACGAAAGACGUGGGGGAGCAAAC
RNAcentral lists this ribosomal RNA (207 nucleotides) under uncultured bacterium. Its description in RNAcentral is "partial 16S ribosomal RNA". It matches the Rfam family "Bacterial small subunit ribosomal RNA", at positions 568 to 773 of the family's 1533-position model. The record is from RNAcentral.